AUGAAAGAGGCCGUCGCUUCUGAUAGAUGAUGACUAUGUUAUAGUCUC
This 48-nucleotide small nucleolar RNA is filed under the name Pyrobaculum islandicum DSM 4184. RNAcentral's name for it is "PISsR127". The record is from RNAcentral. Lineage: Archaea; Thermoproteati; Thermoproteota; Thermoprotei; Thermoproteales; Thermoproteaceae.